AGUGAACGCUGGCGGUAGGCCUAACACAUGCAAGUCGAACGGCAGCACAGUAAGAGCUUGCUCUUACGGGUGGCGAGUGGCGGACGGGUGAGGAAUACAUCGGAAUCUACUUUUUCGUGGGGGAUAACGUAGGGAAACUUACGCUAAUACCGCAUACGACCUACGGGUGAAAGCAGGGGAUCUUCGGACCUUGCGCGAUUGAAUGAGCCGAUGUCGGAUUAGCUAGUUGGCGGGGUAAAGGCCCACCAAGGCGACGGUCCGUAGCUGGUCUGAGAGGAUGAUCAGCCCCACUGGAACUGAGACACGGUCCCGACUCCUACGGGAGGCAGCAGUGGGGAAUAUUGGACAAUGGGCGCAAGCCUGAUCCAGCCAUACCGCGUGGGUGAAGAAGGCCUUCGGGUUGUAAAGCCCUUUUGUUGGGAAAGAAAAGCAGCAGGUUAAUACCCCGCUGUUCUGACGGUACCCAAAGAAUAAGCACCGGCUAACUUCGUG
This 492-nucleotide ribosomal RNA is filed under the name uncultured bacterium. RNAcentral describes it as "partial 16S ribosomal RNA". It matches the Rfam family "Bacterial small subunit ribosomal RNA", at positions 29 to 507 of the family's 1533-position model. The record is from RNAcentral.